UCAUGGUGGACUUGUGUUUGAUGUUAGUUGAUAAGUUUAACAUAUAUAUGUUAUUUUAGGUGGUACACUUUUGGUAUUUUUAGCACCUUGUUGUUGUGUGUCAAUAUGGUUAAGAUGAUGUAUGUUUCCAUAGCCAAUUUGGUAUGUGAUGGAGUAGUUGCAAUGUGGUCAAGUAUGGUAUGUUUUAAGAUGGAAAUGAG
This 200-nucleotide long non-coding RNA is filed under the name Gossypium raimondii (Peruvian cotton). RNAcentral describes it as "long non-coding RNA (GRAI_LNC008959)". Lineage: Eukaryota; Viridiplantae; Streptophyta; Magnoliopsida; Malvales; Malvaceae. The record is from RNAcentral.